GACGAACGCUGGCGGCGUGCUUAACACAUGCAAGUCGAACGGAAAGGCCCUGCUUUUGUGGGGUGCUCGAGUGGCGAACGGGUGAGUAACACGUGAGUAACCUGCCCUUGACUUUGGGAUAACUUCAGGAAACUGGGGCUAAUACCGGAUAGGAGCUCCUGCUGCAUGGUGGGGGUUGGAAAGUUUCGGCGGUUGGGGAUGGACUCGCGGCUUAUCAGCUUGUUGGUGGGGUAGUGGCUUACCAAGGCUUUGACGGGUAGCCGGCCUGAGGGGGUGACCGGCCCCAUUGGGACUGAGAUACGGCCCAGACUCCUACGGGAGGCAGCAGUGGGGAAUAUUGCACAAUGGGCGGAAGCCUGAUGCAGCAACGCCGCGUGCGGGAUGACGGCCUUCGGGUUGUAAACCGCUUUCGCCUGUGACGAAGCGUGAGUGACGGUAAUGGGUAAAGAAGCACCGGCUAACUACGUG
Molecule: ribosomal RNA, 468 nt
Filed under: uncultured bacterium
Lineage: Bacteria
Description: partial 16S ribosomal RNA
Rfam family: Bacterial small subunit ribosomal RNA
Source: RNAcentral